AGCAGAGUAGCGUAGUGGAAGCGUGCUGGGCCCAUAACCCAGAGGACCGUGGAUUAAAACCCCGCUCUGCUA
This 72-nucleotide transfer RNA is filed under the name Trichonephila clavipes. It matches the Rfam family "tRNA". From Rfam's summary of the family: Transfer RNA (tRNA) molecules are approximately 80 nucleotides in length. Their secondary structure includes four short double-helical elements and three loops (D, anti-codon, and T loops). Lineage: Eukaryota; Metazoa; Arthropoda; Arachnida; Araneae; Nephilidae. The record is from Rfam by way of RNAcentral.